GUGGAACCUGGAAUUCAAACGGCUGGGUAGGAAGCACGCUAGCAGGGGCCUCUGGCCUUGCUGAGGGUCCCUGUUUCCCCUUUUCCUUCCUUUUCACCCAACAAAACCCUGCUUUACUCACCCUUCAAACCAUCUAUGAGCCUAAAUUGUCGUGGUCGUGGAAUGGACAAGGACCCAGUCUUUAGCUGAACUAAGGGAAAGUCCUGCUUUUUGGCGCGCAACAGGGGAGCUCAAGAAACAGGCCUCACUCACGGCAUAUGGAACUAACCACGCCCCUAACUAAGAAGGCACACCUUAGUUGCAGUUAGCACACAAUUAAAGCAACUCUCCAAGUUUUACCUUAAAGUUCAAAAUUGCUAGGAGUUGAAACUACUAGAAAUAUAUUUACAUGCAAGAGUCAAAGAAACUUUGAACUAUUUAUGGCCUUUAAUAAUUAAGUAAGGUAUACUCCUGUGAUCAAGACUUGGAGCAUAUUUGUUUCUCUCUGCCUGGUUCCUCUAGAAAUUGGAAACUAUCAGAACAGAGACCAACUCCGUUUCCCGAUCCCUUUGCAAUCUGCAUUGAACCAUGAGUCAAGUUCUUGAUAAAGGAGUGAAAAUGGUAAGUCUAAAGCAAUGAAAAGCUGCUGUAUUGACUACACAUGCCUUCAUUUCUUCUACCCUGCUUCUUUCAUGCCUGCUUAUCUGAAUGACACCAGGAUGACAUUUAAGGCACAUCUGAAGAUGGGGAAACCACAGCACAGAAUAAGGCUGGGCCCUUGAAUCAAUAAAUGAAGGAGAACUACUCAAGAGAACAAAACCACCAGCAAUAUCCACCUGUAUUUGUCUUUUCAUAAUGUGUGACACAUGUGCUCAUGGAUUAUUGUCCGAAGCAAGACAUGUGACCAAGCCUAACAUCAACUGGGUGAAGAGCUAUAUGUUCCUUUCUCAAGAGGCACUACAAGUGACAUGCCACUGGGCAGAAGGUUGAAAAGAUGAUCCAGUGAAGAAACAAGAGAAGAUGUAGCCAGGAAAUAUCUGAAGCAAACUGGUGGAUUCUGAAUGAUUAAAAAUAAUAAUAACCAAAGAGAAAAGAAGUAGUGGAUGAGGUUGGCAGAGAUGAGGAACUGCCAUUUCUCCAAAGCUCUGAACCAAAAGCAAAGACUCAUUUGAAUGUUUUACCAAGCUUGAGUACUUUACAAAACUUGAAAGUGUGCAAGAGCAAAGAGGUAUCAUUUAGCACACUAUAAAUAGCAUCUUCUUUAAAAAUGUUGUACACAUUUCUCAUAUUUGAAAGUAAAUAACCUGAGAUUUAAAACAUCUGUCAAACAAUCUGUGAAUGUUAUGUGCCAUUUUAAUACAUUUUGACAUUAUUUCAUGUUGAAACAUACUUUCUCUGAUUGUAUUGACUGGAUUAUAUAGAACCUCUUUGACUGACUUAGUCUAUAACUUGCCCAGAUAAAAUGUACAUUGCAAGUAAAUAAAAUAUGGGUGAUAUGGGAAUGAAAUUUCAA
Homo sapiens (human) is the source of this 1492-nucleotide long non-coding RNA. Ensembl annotates it as long intergenic non-protein coding RNA 1515. Lineage: Eukaryota; Metazoa; Chordata; Mammalia; Primates; Hominidae. The record is from Ensembl.